CCUACGGGGGGCUGCAGUGGGGAAUUUUCCGCAAUGGGCGAAAGCCUGACGGAGCAAGACCGCGUGGGGGAAGAAGGCUCUUGGGUUGUAAACCCCUUUUCUCUGGGAAGAAAGUUGUGAAAGCAACCUGACGGUACCAGAGGAAUCAGCAUCGGCUAACUCCGUGCCAGCAGCCGCGGUAAGACGGAGGAUGCAAGCGUUAUCCGGAAUGAUUGGGCGUAAAGCGUCCGCAGGUGGCAGUUCAAGUCUGCUGUCAAAGACCGGGGCUUAACUUC
Molecule: ribosomal RNA, 275 nt
Filed under: uncultured bacterium
Lineage: Bacteria
Description: partial 16S ribosomal RNA
Rfam family: Bacterial small subunit ribosomal RNA
Source: RNAcentral